Molecule: ribosomal RNA, 497 nt
Filed under: uncultured bacterium
Lineage: Bacteria
Description: partial 16S ribosomal RNA
Rfam family: Bacterial small subunit ribosomal RNA
Source: RNAcentral
GACGAACGCUGGCGGCGUGCCUAAUACAUGCAAGUUGAGCGCUGAAGGUUGGUACUUGUACCAACUGGAUGAGCAGCGAACGGGUGAGUAACGCGUGGGGAAUCUGCCUUUGAGCGGGGGACAACAUUUGGAAACGAAUGCUAAUACCGCAUAAAAACUUUAAACACAAGUUUUAAGUUUGAAAGAUGCAAUUGCAUCACUCAAAGAUGAUCCCGCGUUGUAUUAGCUAGUUGGUGAGGUAAAGGCUCACCAAGGCGAUGAUACAUAGCCGACCUGAGAGGGUGAUCGGCCACAUUGGGACUGAGACACGGCCCAAACUCCUACGGGAGGCAGCAGUAGGGAAUCUUCGGCAAUGGACGAAAGUCUGACCGAGCAACGCCGCGGGAGUGAAGAAGGUUUUAGGAUCGUAAAACUCUGUUGGUAGAGAAGAACGUUGGUGAGAGUGGAAAGCUCAUCAAGUGACGGUAACUACCCAGAAAGGGACGGCUAACUACGUG